This 7195-nucleotide long non-coding RNA is filed under the name Brassica napus (rape). Its description in RNAcentral is "long non-coding RNA (BNAP_LNC003900)". The record is from RNAcentral. Lineage: Eukaryota; Viridiplantae; Streptophyta; Magnoliopsida; Brassicales; Brassicaceae.
AUUAAACAAAUUCCAAGAGGUUGUUCUUAUAAACCAUCUAACUCGGAAGCCUUAGUGUUUACAUAAGAGAAAGGUAUAUCGCGAAAUCGAGUGCCUUUUGCAAGGCUAUCAGCUCGGAAAAUAAUGGUUUUAUUUUUUCUAAAUUAGGUAUGUGAAUCCAAUCAUCUUCCUUUCUUAUGUAAAUGAAUCACACAAUUACUGUUUCAAGUAUUCAAGUAAGUGUUUCUAACUUCUCUGCAUUUUGUAAAACUUUUCGAUUCUUAAAUAGCUCAGAAAUUUGUAUCAUCUAUGCUAUAUGCUUGAUAAGCUACAAACCUUUAGUAGUUUGAUACAAACACUGGUAUGGCAUGCCAAAUUCAUUGGCAAUGUGUUCCCAAAUUAUAUCAGAUACAAUAAUUUGAAAAUCUGAUUUAAAAAUAUAUGUAAUGAUUUGUGAUGUAUAUAUAGUAGUGAUUCAUGUAUAUUUAUAUGCUAGUUAUUGGAUGUAUACUCAUUAUAUUCUUUGUUUAUCAUUGAGAAAGUAGAGUAACCAUUUUUGGAAGAAAUUUCAAUUUCUUUCUAUUGUAAGAAGAAAAUUAAGGGGUAGUAUUGGAUCCGUAGUAGGCAAAAAUAACUCGUCUGAUAGAGGAUGCUACCAAAUAAUCUUUCCAUCUAAUUUUAGUGUGGUUAUAAGAGAAACAAGAAUGUAAGAAAAAAAUUAAAUUCGAUGAAAAUAACUAAAAUUUCUUCAGUUUGUUUAUCCUUCCGUUUUUAGUGUCUUCUUGGAUAAUUAAAAUCUCGUCAACAAACUAUUUUAUUCUGGUAGUUUAACUACUAAAUUUCACAUGAAAAUCACUUAGUAUGGACUCACCAGGUGUAUCAGAUCCUUGAAGCAUAUUACAGUCAAUAUUUCAAGUUUAAUAUUAAGAUUGUAUACAUUUUUCUUUGUUUAACAUUAUUUAUUAUAUAAUUACAAGUUAAAUAUUAUAUAAAUAACUCUACAACCGACAAUUUUACAUUUCUUAAGAAGAUUUACAUUUGACUGUACCAUAAUUUUGAGUUGCUUUAUGAAAUUUUACGUUGGAUGAUUUCAGUUGCACUAUGCUGAAGAUUUCAUAUAAAUAUUUUUUCAUUAAUUUACAUAAUCGUUAAUAAACAGAAAUCUCAGAAACCCAAAAUUCAUAUCUCAUAGUACAGAAAUAUUAAUGAAUAUUCAGUUAAAUCACUAUACCAAAUAGUAUUUAAUUAUUGUUUGUUUAGAUAGUACAUAAUUACGUACAUUUGAGUCAUCUUUAUUUUAGAAAAUGUUCUAAACUACAUUUAGUUUUGAACAGCAUAUGUUAAUUUCUUAACAGGUAUAGAUUGGUUUUCCUAACAAUAUCAAAUAUGUUUUUUUUGUCAGCAGUAUCCAGACAUCAUUUAACUAUAUUACAUUUUCUUCAAUUAAAACAUUAAUUAAGGUUUGUGCUAGUAUUGUUGUUAUGUUUUCAACCAACUUCAAAUCCAAUCAUCCAUGCGGGUCGACAAAGGAGCCAUAUUUAGGUAUUUUCCUUAAUCGAUUUGCUUAAAGUCCUUUUCUAAUUUAAUUUAGAUUAUAACUUAAUGUCCUUUUCAAACGACAAACUCUAAACGCAGUUAGCAUCGCCUUAAUUUACUCUUAUAGUUCACAGUUUGCAUGUUUUUUUCUGGCAAAGUUUGCAAUUCAAUAAUUAAUAUGUUGUUUAAUAAAUGAGGAAAUGCAACUUCAUCCUUAUUAUUUUGGGUAUUUGAUAUCAAAGAUUCGCGGAGUGAGAAGAGAUGAGAUUUGUAGUCGUUACAAACAAUGCGUUUCUUAGUCUCCUGACGUUGAUCCAUGUGGAAGUGUACUCUUGUUCCUGAUUUCCAUAUGAAUUCUAAAUAAUUGAUAUGUUGUUUCGAAUUUCAGUAAUUAAACUUCUAAUUCCACUUCUACUAAAAUAUAAAAAAUAUAUUUUAUUCCACUUCUACUAAAAUAUAAAAACUAUAUUUUCUGUAACAUAUAUUUGUAUGUAAGUUACAAAAACAUAUUAUAUUCAUAUGUAAUUAGAUAUUCAACUAAAGGUAGUUUGGUUUAUAGUGGAUGUUUCAAUGGCCUCGAUUUCAUCGAAGUACGUAAUAGGGGAAUCGUCAGCCUUUUGGAGUGAAAGUUGUAAGCGUUCUAGAGAGUUUUUACAUGCAAAAAGAGUUCUUGGCCCUAAGGAUAUACACUUCCACGUAGAUCAAUGUCACGAGACGAAGCUCUAUAUAUACAGGUAGAGAAGCGCAUUGUUUGUAACGACUACAAAUCUCUUCUCACUUUGAAGAAAACCACGAACCUUUGAAAUCAAAUACCCAGAAAAUAAGAAUGAAAUUGCCUUUUCUCAUUCUCCUUCUGAUAGCGACGUGGUUUACAAAAAACGUUAUUUCUCCUUCUCCUGAAUCUCGACUACUUGAUAGAAGUGAUUUUCCAGAUGAUUUCAUUUUUGGAACUGCAACGUCGGCCUUUCAGGUAAUUUGAUAUUGUAACUGUAACAUGCAUCAAAAGAGAAGAUAGUACAUGAAAUAACUAGUCAGGUUAUAUAUCGAUUGUUUUGAGGUGUUGUUCAGCUUAAGAUGAUAUAUGGUUGCUUUUUUUGGUUGGUAUCUGAUACAUUUUUUAAUUUAAGUUUACAUUAUUUUUGAUCCAAGCCGUUAACAAACCGGGAUUAUUAAAGAUUGCAUGAUUAUAAUGGUAUUUGAUACAAUUUGUUCGUAAUGCAUGCUAUAGAAUAGACAAAUAUAAUUAUAAAGUCUAUUUAUUAUUUUAAUCACAUGUCCGUAUGCUCUUUUCUUUCUAAUUAUAAACUAGAUUUUGACCCGCUCUUUAAAAGCGCGGAACUAUUUUUUGUUGACAAAUUUAUUAACCCGUUUGUUUGUUCGUUAUAAGUUUAAGCAUGGGUGUUCGGUUUUUGGUUAUGUUCCAAUUUUUUCUUUUUAGUUUUGGUUCGGUUUUGGUUUGGUUGUGGUUUUGUUUUUUCGGUUUUUGUAGGUUUUUUUAUGAAUUUGGAAUUAGUUUCGGUUUGGUUAUUAUGGUUUUUGGGUGUUGUUCGAAUAACAAUGUUAAAAAUCUGAUAAAAUUUUGAGUUCAAUUAGGUUCAGGUUCGGUUCCCAUUUUUCGGAUAGUUUUGAAUAAUUCAGAUAAAAAAAUUAUUUUAAAUUUUUUUGAUAAAAUAUAGGAUAAAUUUAAAUAGUUUGGAUAAAAAUAUAUUGGUGAUUCAGUUCUAUAGGAGAGUUAGGAUAAUUUAAAAUAUUUUGGAUAAAAAGUAAUAGGAUAAUCCAAAUUUAUGGGUAGUUUAGUUUUUAAAUAGUACUUUUAGAUUAUUCGAUCAUUUUAAAACUAAAUAUAAUUAUUAUUUUAGAUAUAUAAAUUGUAUUUUGGAUAGUUCGGUUCUCAAUUUUCUUUCAAUUUGGUUUCAGUUUUUCUUUUACAAAAUAUAGGAAUUGUUAUUGAAUCGGUGUGGUUUUCUAUACUUUAAGUGGGUUUCUUGGGUUUAAUCUAAUUUUCUAAUGUUGGGUUUUCUAUGCUCAAGAAGGAAAUGCUCAAGAAGGAAAAAAGAAAAUCCAUUGGGUUUUCAGUUUUUCUUGGGUUUUCUACUAUUUUUGGUAUUGAUUACGAUUUAUAAAGUAUAGAAAAUUAGAUUAAAAUAUCUAAUGUUGGUUCAUAUAAAUUAAUAGAUAUUUUAAUCUAAUUUUCUAUACUUUAUAAAUCGUAAUCAAUACCAAAAAUAGUAGAUUUAUUAAUAUUUAGUAUUGCACAAGUUAUUGAGAGGAAUAUCUUCUUACAAAUUAUGGAAGUUGAUAUAUGCAAAAUCUCUCAUUAAAUACAAAAUUAUGGAAUUUUUCUAUAUCAAAUUUAAGGAAGUAAUUUAUUCCAGUAUAUUUAUAUUUUUCAAUUUUGGAAGCAAAUAAUAUUUUCAAAAUGAAAGCGCAAUAUACACAUCUUUUAUAAAUUAAAUAUUAAAAUCUUGUAUGAUAUUAAAAAUUCAAAUAUAUAUUUUUCUUACAAUUUAGUUAGGAUUAUUAUCAAAAUAUAUUGAAAUUAAGGAAGUUAUAUAUUUAAAUAUACUUAGAUUUUUUUUUAAAGCACAAAUCUUUUCAAAAUGUAAUCACAAGUUAUUCUUAUGAGUAGCCUCACACAAUAUUCAAAUCUUUUAUGAAUUAUAGAAUAAAAGUGUGAUAACUCAAAUGAGUCAAAUACUUAAAUUUUUUACAAUUUAUUUAGGAUGAUUAUACAAAAAUACUGUUAGCAUAAAAGAAUAUCUCGUAAACAAAGAACAAAAUCAAUUUUGUUAAAGAUAUCAGUUGAAAAACUGUUAUUCAACAAUAUUUUAAUUAUAAAACCAUGUAAAAUAGUUGUUAAAGAUAUUAUAUAGCAUUUUAACGCAAACCCUGAAUUAAGUUAAUGAAAAUCCAUGAUAUGAAAAUCUAAUAAUAUGAUCAAUGAUGGCCGAUGCUUCCAAAGUUAAUAACAUACCUUUUGAAACAGAAAUGUAACGACUAACGCCACAUGGCAAUGAUGCUUCCAAAGUGAAUAAGUUGCCUUUGAUGUCUGAUCAACGAAUGCCGUGUAUGACGAAAGAAAUGACACACAUAAUAAAACCCAAAGCAAACAGCAAGAACUUACUUUUUUUUUUUUUGGUAAAAUGAAGAACUUACUUUUUCACAAUUAGGUAAUGCCACAAUGAUGGCUAAUCCCAUUUAACAGCUAGAAGAAAUGUUCUUCUGACCCAAAUGCAGCUACGUCCUAAACCACAAAUUUUCAGAAUACCAAUUUCACAAUCUAAUUAAAUAUUUAAAAAUAUAUAUAUAUAUAUAUAUAUAUAACAAAACAUCAAACACCAAAGCCCUUUUUCAAAAAAAAAAAACAUCAGCAUUUUUUUGUCUAAAGGAAGGAUUUGCGUGGUUUUAACCAUAAGCUGAUAAACAAAAGAGCUAACUUUACAGUUGAAGUAAUUGAAAUUCCCUUAAUCAACUCGCUGAAAGAAACAUUAAAACCAUAGACGGACUCAAGAACAACACAUGCUCAACAUAUCAAAAGAUGCCAUCAAAUACUUUUACAAUUCAGCCACAGAUUUCACAAAUACCUUGUGGCCAAUUAAAGAAGAAUCUCUAGAGGAUUAAACAGUGCAGUCGUAAUUGGUGUCGGAGUCGUUGGUUUAGCGGUGGCUCGUGAGCUCCAGUCUCCAAAAUCAAGCCUAGAUUUCUUGCUGAAUUUUUCCACCAGAUUGGUACAGUUAAUAGAAAUAAUAUAGAUAAUUUUUUAUGCCUAAACGAUUUAGUUGAAAGGAAUAGAUAAAAGGCAAUAUCUUGUUUGUUAGAAAAAAGAUUUAGUGGAAUAAUAAUAAUAUAAUUAAAAAGCAUAGCUUUAAAAUAUUUCAGUGGCAGAGAUAUGUAAAUACUUCAAAACUUCAAGGUGACCUCAAAAAAACCCCUUCAGUUUUAAUAGUAUUGAUAGAUCCGGCAUACAUUCGUUUCUUUGUAAUCAUAUGCCGUAUACCUAUUUCUUUAUAAUCAUAUUUAUGUAUUCUAGAUCUUGAUUAUAAAGUUUAUUUAUUAUGUAUGGUAACAUAAACAAAAAGGUGUAGAUUUGAGGAAAACCAAACAAAAAAGGUGGAGGAUAAAAUCAUCAACGUCAUAGAACUUGUUAAUUUCUUUUAAAACUUUACCCAAAAAGAAAAAAAGAACAUCAAAAAAAUUGCAGUAUCUUUAUAAGACAAAUGACUUUAUAUGGCGUUUAACUUUCUUGACUAAUUUUACCCAAAACUUUUUUUAUAACUUUCUCCACUAUGUAAGUACGGCAGACGAUUCCAAGAAAAAUCUCAUGGGCCUCUCAGGUCAAAUUUAUAUAAAACAUUAAGUUAGGUUAGCUAUAAUGGGCCUCUCGUGAACUAUAGUAAUUUGGAAUCUCGUUUUUAUAUAUUGAUAAAUUAUCAUCUAUUCUAUUAAAAUAAUACCAUACCUAUUAAUAUAUGUUUAGUCCAACAAUUAUUUUGCCAUGUUACCUACUUAGAACCAUGUAACCUCUCCUCCUCCUUUAAUUCUCGGACCCGCACAACCUAAAUCCAAAACGUAAAUUACAAAACCAUUCAUUUUAUAUAAAACUAGUGGUUUUCCGGCGCUACGCGCCGGGUUCAUAUAUUUUAUUCUUAAAUGAAUUUAUAUUUUAUUUUAUAGUUUUUGUAAAGAAAAUAUGUUCAAAAAUAUGAAGAUGAGAAAAUAUGUUGAAAAAUAAUAUAUUUUCUGAUCCAUUUGAUAGUGGUUAGCGACCAUAGUGUAUAACUUUUUUUGAAGUUGCUUAGUUCAAAGUGAAAUAGCAUAAGUGGUUGUGACUGAUCGAUUAAAUAAAAGUAUAAUAAAAACCGAUAGUCGUAACAAAGUUAAUUUAGUUGAAAUUUAAACAUAAAAUACAGUUGAUAUUUGAGAAGGAAAAAUGUCAAUUUGUUUUUUGUGAUUAUCAUGUUUGAAGGAAAAAAAAUUGUUUCAUCCUAAUAAAAUAGUAACAAUCCUCACAUACUUUGUUUAUGUUGAAGAUGUGGCAAUUUUUUGGGACUUCAUUGUGACAGUAUAAGUUAUUUUCCCUCUUCAAAAUUUCUUCUUUAAUUUUGACAUUUUUCUUUUAAUUUUGAUUAUAUAUUAUGUUUAAAUUUACUUAGCUGUUUUUAAAAAAAUCAUUUUCGGGUACCGUUGAUGUUAUGAUACAUAACUUCAGUCUCUGUUAACUAAGUUUUUAUAAAAAAAUUCUUGAAUAUAUUGGUACUUUUAUUUACUAUUAUAAAUAUUCUCAUAAAUUUGAUAUAUACAUCCAUAAGAAUUUCGAAAUAGCUUUUUUUUAAACCUAAUUAUAUUUAUAAAAAAUAUAUCAUAAUUUCUUAGUUUUUAUCUAUGAUAGCUUUGUACAUCUAAUGAAAAUAAUAUGCCUAAUUUCUAUUAUUGUCUUGUUUAUAAAUAUCAUCUCUCUUGCAAUAAGAAUCUAUAUAUAUAAAGGGGGCUUUUCUCUCUUGGAACUUCUAUGUUUACUUCAUCAGUAGCUUCAAUGCAGGAGGUGAUGCAUCAGACCGAGAGAGAGGACACAGAACCAGUGGUGGCUAAAGCAGCAAGGAACUUGAGGGAAGGGAUCGUUAAGGGACGUUCUUUAUGGCAAUUGUUAUUCACAAUCACUCGCUUCUCCAAAACUGCCGCA